GAAGCAUGGUUCAGCCCUGGACGAAGCCAUCGUCCAGCUACUGGAUUUCUGGAGGAACGCUUGCGAAAUGUCAGGAAGAGAACCCGUCGUGAAAACUGCACAAGUCGUGAGAAAGAGGAUUCUCAAGCCAUAAGCAGCACCUUGGUUAUACCAGGUAAAAAUUUAAAUUUGCUAUCUUUUACUAAAAGCAAGUGUUUAUUAUUUUGGCAAAUAUCCUUAAUUUUGUUGUUAAAAUUAUAUUUAUUUGUAGAGCCAAGUAUUUCACCUGACAGAGCAGUACAACUUGCAGAAUGGCUUAAAAAUAAUAUGUGGCCAGCUAACCAAGUUGCAGAUUACAUGAAAGAAACAGCCAUCCACAGGGCUCAGUGGAUAAGAGCUAACGGGACAAAAUCUAUCGAGGAAAUAACUUGUGAAUUCCCUCGACUCCUUGAUACGCCAGGCAUGAUUUCACAAGACUUCUCUGUAUUAUUCCCCGACCACGCAGAGAGACUUUUCCAAACUUGGAAAAUGAGUUUCAAAGACAAAAUCCUUUGCUUUGCCAGCCAGGAGAAAAAGCGCAGGAGCUUCUCCAGAAUUUAGACAGUUUGUCUCCAGGUACAGUUGUGAAUGCAAGAACUAAUAGUUAUUCAUUAGAAUAAUGAUGACAAAAUAAUUAAUACAAAAUAUUAAUCUGCACAGAAGUCCAAAGUGACGUUGCACUCAGGCUGCUUCCUGUAAUACUGCCCACCCCUGUCUACAAAAAAGGGAUGAAAAUGUUCAAACCAAGCUUGGAAGAAAAUAUCAAGUCUUUCAUUGAAUUCAAGCAUGUUGGGACCAACAUGGUUGAAUAUUUGAAGGAGGCAGAGCUCACUAAACCCUUCCCCUUUGUCCUUGGUCUUGGGGAUGACAGUCAAUGCCAUCAAGCCUUUGUAGUUGUUGGCAAACAGGCACUGCAUCAAAACACACUCCUUGGUGCUGUGGACACGUGUUUUAAACUUUUUUAUGUUUUAGACAUCCAUUUCCCGAAGCAGUGUGCACCAGUGUGGGAGUUUUUGCAGACUGUUGUCUACAAACUCCCAGGAACUGAAUCUCCUUCUGUAAGACUGCUCCGUGGAUAUUUGUCAUGUUGA
RNAcentral lists this long non-coding RNA (1109 nucleotides) under Carassius auratus (goldfish). RNAcentral describes it as "lncRNA (ENSCARG00000047763.1)". The record is from RNAcentral. Lineage: Eukaryota; Metazoa; Chordata; Actinopteri; Cypriniformes; Cyprinidae.